CCUACGGGUGGCAGCAGUGGGGAAUAUUGCACAAUGGGGGAAACCCUGAUGCAGCGACGCCGCGUGAAGGACGAAGUAUUUCGGUACGUAAACUUCUAUCAUCAGGGAAGAAAAUGACGGUAUCUGACCAAGAAGCCCCGGCUAACUACGUGCCAGCAGCCGCGGUAAUACGUAGGGGGCAAGCGUUACCCGGAUUUACUGGGUGUAAAGGGCGCGUAGACGGGCAAGCAAGUCUGAUGUGAAAACCCAGGGCUCAACCCCGGGACUGCAUUGGAAACUGUGCGGCUGGAGUGUGGGAGAGGCAAGUGGAAUUCCUGGUGUAGCGGGGAAAUGAGGAGAUAUUAGGAGGAACACCAGUGGCGAAGGCGGCUUGCUAGACGACGACUGACGUUGAGGCUCGAAAGCGUGGGGAGCAAACAGGAUUAGAUACCCCUGUAGUC
This 440-nucleotide ribosomal RNA is filed under the name uncultured bacterium. RNAcentral's name for it is "partial 16S ribosomal RNA". It matches the Rfam family "Bacterial small subunit ribosomal RNA", at positions 338 to 795 of the family's 1533-position model. The record is from RNAcentral.